This 492-nucleotide ribosomal RNA is filed under the name uncultured bacterium. Its description in RNAcentral is "partial 16S ribosomal RNA". It matches the Rfam family "Bacterial small subunit ribosomal RNA", at positions 29 to 507 of the family's 1533-position model. The record is from RNAcentral.
AGUGAACGCUGGCGGUAGGCCUAACACAUGCAAGUCGAACGGCAGCACAGUAAGAGCUUGCUCUUACGGGUGGCGAGUGGCGGACGGGUGAGGAAUACAUCGGAAUCUACUUUUUCGUGGGGGAUAACGUAGGGAAACUUACGCUAAUACCGCAUACGACCUACGGGUGAAAGCAGGGGAUCUUCGGACCUUGCGCGAUUGAAUGAGCCGAUGUCGGAUUAGCUAGUUGGCGGGGUAAGGGCCCACCAAGGCGACGAUCCGUAGCUGGUCUGAGAGGAUGAUCAGCCACGCUGGAACUGAGACACGGUCCAGACUCCUACGGGAGGCAGCAGUGGGGAAUAUUGGACAAUGGGCGCAAGCCUGAUCCAGCCAUACCGCGUGGGUGAAGAAGGCCUUCGGGUUGUAAAGCCCUUUUGUUGGGAAAGAAAAGCAGCAGGUUAAUACCCCGCUGUUCUGACGGUACCCAAAGAAUAAGCACCGGCUAACUUCGUG